CAAUAGCGUAUAUUAAAGCUGUUGCGGUUAAAAAGCUCGUAGUUGGAUUUCUGUCAAGGACAACUGGUCCGCCCUCCGGGUGAGCACAUAGUUUGGUCUUGACAUCUUGCUGGAAGCUGUUGCUGCACUUGGCUGUGUGGCGCAGUGUUCAGCGCUUUCACUUUGAGGAAAUUGGAGUGUUUCAAGCAGGCACAUGCCUUUGGACACAGUAGCAUGGAAUAAUUAGAUUGGGCUUUUGCUCCAAUUUGUCGGUUUCUGGAGCUGAGGUGAGUAUUAAUGGGGAUUGUUGGGGGCAUCCGAAUUUAGCCGUCAGAGGUGAAAUUCUUGGAUCUGCUAAAGACGGACAACUGCGAAAGCGUUUGCCCAGGAUGUUUUCAUUGA
This 381-nucleotide ribosomal RNA is filed under the name uncultured eukaryote. Its description in RNAcentral is "partial 18S ribosomal RNA". It matches the Rfam family "Eukaryotic small subunit ribosomal RNA", at positions 592 to 976 of the family's 1831-position model. The record is from RNAcentral.